RNAcentral lists this ribosomal RNA (495 nucleotides) under uncultured bacterium. RNAcentral's name for it is "bacterial SSU rRNA". It matches the Rfam family "Bacterial small subunit ribosomal RNA", at positions 17 to 507 of the family's 1533-position model. The record is from RNAcentral.
UCCUGGCUCAGAUUGAACGCUGGCGGCAUGCCUUACACAUGCAAGUCGAACGGCAGCACGGGAGCAAUCCUGGUGGCGAGUGGCGAACGGGUGAGUAAUAUAUCGGAACGUGCCCAGUCGUGGGGGAUAACGUAGCGAAAGCUACGCUAAUACCGCAUACGAUCUAUGGAUGAAAGCGGGGGAUCGCAAGACCUCGCGCGAUUGGAGCGGCCGAUAUCAGAUUAGGUAGUUGGUGGGGUAAAAGCCUACCAAGCCUUCGAUCUGUAGCUGGUCUGAGAGGACGACCAGCCACACUGGAACUGAGACACGGUCCAGACUCCUACGGGAGGCAGCAGUGGGGAAUUUUGGACAAUGGGCGCAAGCCUGAUCCAGCAAUGCCGCGUGCAGGAUGAAGGCCUUCGGGUUGUAAACUGCUUUUGUACGGAACGAAACGGUUCUCUCUAAUACAGGGGGCUAAUGACGGUACCGUAAGAAUAAGCACCGGCUAACUACGUG